UUAUUUAAUCAAAGUUUGUGUGCAGUCAGA
This 30-nucleotide non-coding RNA is filed under the name Rattus norvegicus (Norway rat). Lineage: Eukaryota; Metazoa; Chordata; Mammalia; Rodentia; Muridae. The record is from RNAcentral.